GAUGUAUUAUAGAUUUAUAUAUGACCAGAUGAGUUCAGUUGUAAAACUCGCCAUCAUCAUGACUCCCUUGCUUUUCCACCGGAUGGGACUAGGCCGAAACGGGCAAGGUGCCUGACCUUCGAGGAAAAGACAGAACUAACUGAAGUGUCACCUCAGAGGAUAAUAAAUCUGGCAUAGAGGUAAAGAUCAAAGGGGUAUGUACAUAGACAGGUCCCUCCGCUGAGCCAACCUGGGCCUCGACGGCGCCAAAUGGAGGAGGAGAAAUUUCCUAUUAAAAAGAUGGCUAAUAGCCUAAUACCCAACAUUGCUUCAGCUUUGGAUACAAUUCAUAUUUAAGCCAGCAAAAGGAAAGGGGAUUCAUUAAUUUGGAAAUUAGAUCGAAAUUCCAAGCAAUUUGCCAAUAUGUAUCUGUUAAAAGAAUGGGUUAGAAGAGAAAAAUAUAUAAAAAGGCUCCAAUUCUAAAGCUCAGGAAAAAAAGGACUACCUGAAAGUGAAAGCCAAGAGAGGAAGACUAAUGACAGCGUUUAAUUUGCCUGAUAAGAGAAGAAUUAUGCGACUGAAAGGGAUUGUCCCAGCUAGCUGUUUCGGGCCCUGAAACGAGCUCACCUCCCCAUCGACUCUUCCCGCCAAAACCGCUGAGACCGCCGUGUCAAGUGGCGGUUUCAGACUCAGACACGGGCGCACCUCCCAACCAACACGACACCCACCGACACUUCCUGCCAAAACCCCCUUCUUCUACUGCUGCAACCGCCGAGUAAGAUGGCGGUUUCAGACCCCGACACGGGCGCACCUGCCAACCACCACAAACACCCAUCGACUCUUCCCGCAAAACCCAACACUCCCCUCAAUGUAAACCAAAAGACCCAAAUGCCAUCUUCAUUUAUUUUUCAUCGAAAUUUUAGUUUCUUAUUAAAAAGAAGAAGAAAAAAAAUGAUAUAAUAUUUAUCAACAAUUUUGGGUUCUUUUUCUGGUAAGUCAUUUUAUUUUAGUUUAAAAUUUUUUUAC
Molecule: long non-coding RNA, 1005 nt
Filed under: Gossypium barbadense (sea-island cotton)
Lineage: Eukaryota; Viridiplantae; Streptophyta; Magnoliopsida; Malvales; Malvaceae
Description: long non-coding RNA (GBAR_LNC018819)
Source: RNAcentral